GUGGAUCUUCCCAACAAUGGAAAAGCCAUGGACCUCAAGUGGGAAUUUAUGAUCAAGAGAGAUGCCGAAGGGUCCGUGAAGCACAAAGCGAGGCUAGUAGCCAAAGGGUACGUGCAAGAGGAAGGUGUGGACUUCGAAGAAGUGUUUGUUCCCGUUGCAAAGAUGGAAUCGGUGAGAUUACUCAUAGCUCUUGCGGCUCAAGAGUCAUGGAGGAUACAUCACAUGGAUGUAAAAUUUGUGUUUUUGAACGGAGAGUUAGCAGGAGACACUUAUGUGAACCAGCCACCGGGGCUCAUCAAAGAGGGAGAAGAACACAAGGUACUGAAGCUACACAAAGUCUUGUAUGGGCUACAGCAAGGUACAUGUGACGUCGUCGUGAUUAGGGGGUGA
RNAcentral lists this ribosomal RNA (390 nucleotides) under Triticum aestivum (bread wheat). RNAcentral describes it as "partial small subunit ribosomal RNA". The record is from RNAcentral. Lineage: Eukaryota; Viridiplantae; Streptophyta; Magnoliopsida; Poales; Poaceae.